GUAGGGAAGUUCCUUUCGUGUUCAUGUUUCUAGUACACAGUAUUUUACAAUUGGAACGUGUUUUUCCAAGCCUUGCCUGUAUCAGCUUACCCUCAUGGCCUGAUUUAUUUUGAAUUUCACCAUGGCAUGCAGUUCAGGAAUGUUUCCUAACUGAUGUUGGCAAUUCCUUUUGGUACUUACGUAUUAUCAUAAUCACAUUUGAACCGACUCUCUGUUGAUAUUUUCUGGCAGCCCUUCAAUAUAUCAUUUUCUUAAGCUCCACAGGUCCUGGUCACAAUCAAGUAAGCCGUUCGCUUAUUGCAGGUA
Protopterus annectens (West African lungfish) is the source of this 306-nucleotide long non-coding RNA. RefSeq lists it as uncharacterized. Lineage: Eukaryota; Metazoa; Chordata; Ceratodontiformes; Protopteridae. The transcript is spliced from 3 exons. The record is from RefSeq and is a predicted model, not a curated record.